RNAcentral lists this ribosomal RNA (215 nucleotides) under uncultured bacterium. RNAcentral describes it as "partial 16S ribosomal RNA". It matches the Rfam family "Bacterial small subunit ribosomal RNA", at positions 120 to 334 of the family's 1533-position model. The record is from RNAcentral.
AGGAACCUGCCUUGGAGAGGGGAAUAACACUCCGAAAGGAGUGCUAAUACCGCAUGAUGCAGUUGGGUCGCAUGGCUCUGACUGCCAAAGAUUUAUCGCUCUGAGAUGGCCUCGCGUCUGAUUAGCUAGUAGGCGGGGUAACGGCCCACCUAGGCGACGAUCAGUAGCCGGACUGAGAGGUUGACCAGCCACAUUGGGACUGAGACACGGCCCAG